Long non-coding RNA from Lemur catta (Ring-tailed lemur), 1750 nucleotides. RefSeq lists it as uncharacterized. Lineage: Eukaryota; Metazoa; Chordata; Mammalia; Primates; Lemuridae. The transcript is spliced from 2 exons. The record is from RefSeq and is a predicted model, not a curated record.
GCCCGCUUGGCGGCCAGGAGUCUCUUGCGGGCCUCCUGACGCUGCUUGUCCCCCGCAUCGGAGGCCUUGUCGCGGCUCACUGCCGGCUUGGAUUUGGCUGGCUUCUUUGGGACUGGAGGGGGUGGUUUCUUCUCUUCCUUUAGUGAGACAGUGAGGAGGGAACAAAAAUAAAACAAAGGUGCCACGUUGUGUGUGGCACUACCCCCCACUGUAUGCCGGAGCUGGAGCCUCCACCCCAGCCUCCCCGCACCGGGCACAAGCAACACACACUGGAAUCAGGAAGCCACAGAAGCGAUGAUCGUGGGAAUAGCACAAGGCAUAGGAGCAAAAGCAAGCUUAGAAUCCUAGAAUGUUCUAGCAGGAAAGGACGGACAGAUCAGCUGUUCCCACCCCUGCUUUGAACCGUUGGGAGCCUGAGUCACACAGCCAGAGACAGGACUUAAAUUCAGGGCUUCCGACUCCCAGGUUGCAUUUCACAUGCUAUUCUAAGGGAUUAGGACUUACGAGGGUCACUGGCUUCCCCUGGUUUACAGAAGGAAGCCUCAGGGAAGAGGCUGGCCACCACAAGGAGGCAGAACUGGCUCCAGACUCCCGUACUCUUGGGGGCACAGCCCUGGAGAAGGGGCCAUUUUGCUGCCUCCCAAGUUUCAAUGGCCAUGUCUACCACCGAUGCUUGAGGCUGUGGGUGGCAUGUCUCUCCCGGGGUCCCCCUUUUCUGAACAUGCAGGGCAGGAUGGCAUGCUUCAGGGGAGGCAGCCUCAACUACACAGAGCGAGCGGCAUGCUGGACAAGUGCCAAGCAUGGACCCCACGCGGUGAUGGACGUGAGCCCCCAGCUCAAAAGACGACACACGGAGAAGGGAGCCAAGCAGCACUGACCGAUGUGGGCAGCGUUAUUGCCGACCAGGAAUUUGUCCCUGGACUUCCCCUCCGCACUGCUCCAUGCUCACCUUCCUCUUCUCGGGGGUCUCCACCAGCUGCCAGCUGUUGGCCUUGAGGUGGUAGAGUUCAUCAAACUUCAUGCUGAUGUCCUCGAUGGACAGCUGUAGCAGGUCCCAGAACCCUGCCAGGUCCUGGGCUGUUGGACGUGGGUUGGCAUCAGGGUUCUGUGGGCCAGAAGGGGGAUCAGUGGGGCCAGCAAGGCAGAGACUUGUCCUGUCCGCCACCCCAAGCAUGGUACCCCCAGCCCUGUCAGCAGUGGGUAGGGGCUCUGGAGGCCUAGUCUUGCUCCCUUGUUUCCAGUGUCCGGGUCAGUAUCUGUGUGAAUGAAUGAAGCCAGAUCCCGGUCAGCCAGCCCUAAUGGUGGGGACUCUUGGGACAAGGGGAUGGUCCCAUCAUGAGAGUAGGCCCUGCACAUACAUGUGGACUGAGGCCACUGUUAAGGCCACCACUGCAGGGCUACCUUGAGGGAAGUGUUCAUGUCUCUAAUAUAUGCCAGGUAGACAGCUAACUCGCUAUUUUACAGGGAGGAAACAGAAGUUCUUAGCCAUGGUCUCGCAGGGAAGCAGGAAGAAGCCUGGAUUCACUCCCAGGAAUACACAGCCCCUGGCUGGAUGAAGAGACGCCCCCAGGAAAAGCUGCCUAGGACUCUGCUUCUGGUCCUGGCAAGCAAGCCCCCCUAUCAGGUAGGUAAGGGGAGGGAGGAGGAUACCCACCUAAACCUAGUGCUGGGAUUUCUUUAGUUCUUACCUUGAGUGUCGUCUUAGAUACAGAAUAUAUUUCAUAUAAAUAAAGUUUAUAUAAAAAGCUAA